GACGAACGCUGGCGGCGUGCUUAACACAUGCAAGUCGAGCGGUAAGGCCCUUUCGGGGGUACGACGAGCGGCGAACGGGUGAGUAACACGUGGGUGACCUGCCCUCAGCUCUGGGAUAAGCCUGGGAAACUGGGUCUAAUACCGGAUAUGACUCCAUGACGCAUGUUGUGGGGUGGAAGGCCUUGUGCGGCUGAGGAUGGGCCCGCGGCCUAUCAGCUUGUUGGUGGGGUGANGGGCCUACCAAGGCGACGACGGGUAGCCGGCCUGAGAGGGCGACCGGCCACACAGGGACUGAGACACGGCCCAGACUCCUACGGGAGGCAGCAGUGGGGAAUCUUGCGCAAGUGGGCGAAAGCCUGACGCAGCGACGCCGCGUGAGGGAUGACGGCC
Molecule: ribosomal RNA, 390 nt
Filed under: uncultured bacterium
Lineage: Bacteria
Description: bacterial SSU rRNA
Rfam family: Bacterial small subunit ribosomal RNA
Source: RNAcentral